Long non-coding RNA from Astyanax mexicanus (Mexican tetra), 1743 nucleotides. RefSeq lists it as uncharacterized. The record is from RefSeq and is a predicted model, not a curated record. The transcript is spliced from 2 exons. NCBI's taxonomy places the organism in Eukaryota, Metazoa, Chordata, Actinopteri, Characiformes, Acestrorhamphidae.
UUUUAGACUUACCAGUUAUCAAAAGACCUCUAUGAUGGGAAAAUCAAAAUGUGAUAAUACCUUUUUAUUAACCUUUAAAAGAACUCUUCAGGAUAACGCUAUAUGAAAUUAAUUUCUAAAACUGUACACAAAAGAUAAUUAUCUUGUAACUGAAAAGAUGACACCAUACAAUGAAAUUAUCAUUUCAUAGUCAGUACACAAAUGUUGUGAUGGUACCUCUUCAUAAAAAAUAACCUUUAACAAUACAAAGAUUUGAUAACACCUUAUCAGGAAAUGUAUUUGUAAUAGUCUCCUUAUGCAAUUACGUAAUUUACCUUUAGAACAAACUUUACUGUCAGUAACCCGUAGGCAAUACCUUUAAUUAAUGUACUUAUACAGUAGUACAAAAUUAAAUUGAGCUCUCAAAUAAAUUAUUUAGUGGAAAAUGCAACCACUAAGCACACACAAUAUUUUUUUUUUUCAGCAGCAAUUUAAUGUAUUUUUCGUGUGUAUAACUUAGCUUGAAACAAAUAUACAAUAAUUAAUGUGUAAUUCAAACAGUAGGUAGCUUAAAUCUUAAGUUUAUAUGUAUGAUUUACUUCUACAAAUUGAUUAUCAGACUAACCAGUUAUCAAAAGACCUCUUUAUGAUGGGAAACACAAAAUUGAUACCUUUUUAUUAACCCUUAACAGAACUCUUAAGGAUAAUGCUUCAUAAAAUUAAUUUCCAAGUCCUUACACAAAAGAUAAUUAUCUUGUGACUGAAAAGAUGACACCAAACAAUGAAAUGAACAAUAGUCAGUACACAAAUGUUAUGAUGGUACUUCUUUGUAAAAUUAACCUUUAACAAUACAAAUAUUUGAUAAUACCUUUUUAGGAAACAAAUGUGUAAUAGUCUCCUUAUGCAAUUAUGUAAAAAAAAACUGAUCAAAUGAUUAUUUCAAUUGUUGUCAAUAAAGACAAAGUAUUAUAACUGCAAAAGUGGACUCACUUAAUAUAUGAACGAAAUGUAGAACUGUCUAUACAGUUGUUUAUUCAAGUACUGUAUUUGUAAUGUAUAGCUAUAAAAUGUUAAGCUAUGCUAAAGUGAUUUGUGGUAUAAUUGUGUGUGUGCUGCAGGUCCAGUUUCUUCAGAGCUUUCUAGGUGGUGAGCCAGGCGUUUACUGGGCUUUUGUGGUCUUUUUCCCGUUGUUUAGGGACCUGCAGAUUGUUUGUCUUUGUUGUCUUCUGGGUUGGAUGACUUCUGGGUUGGAUGACUUCUGGGUUGGAUGACUUCUGGGUUGGAUGACUUCUGGGUUGGAUGACUUCUGGGUUGGAUGACUUCUGGGUUGGAUGACUUCUGGGUUGGAUGACUUCUGGGUUGGAUGACUUCUGGGUUGGAUGACUUCUGGGUUGGAUGACUUCUGGGUUGGAUGACGUCUGGGUUGGAUGACGUCUGGGUUGGAUGACGUCUGGGUUGGAUGACUUAUUAUAUGGAUGAGUUAUUAUAUGGAUGAGUUAUUAUAUGGAUGAGUUAUUAUAUGGAUGAGUUAUGAAUUCAAUUAGUUCAAUGAGUUAUGAGUUCAAUGAGUUAUGAGUUCAAUGAGUUAUGAGUUCAAUGAGUUAUGAGUUCAAUGAGUUAUGAGUUCAAUGAGUUCAAUGAGUUCAAUGAGUUCAAUGAGUUCAAUGAGUUAUCGUUUCGGGGGUUUGGGGAAAGCUGGGAUGCUUGCAGAUGCAAGCAGAAAGAAAGAGAGAAAAUGGAAACAAGAAUUUAGAUGGGGUAAGG